GGGCCUCUGCUAAUGCUGGAGAGCUCAAGAAAGAAAAGAGCAAUGUUAAGUGAGGCUGUACCCACAGAUCAUGCUCAAGCAAACUCGAACCGUGAGCACAUUUCUCUUAAACAAAGAACGCUUAGAAUAAAAAUUAAAAUUUCCCACAAAUUUCUAACUUUAAAAUAGUUUCCCAAGAUUUCAGUGGUAUCGUAUAUAUGCCCAUAAAAUUUUUUGGAUUACUAUUCCCACAAGUGUAAGAUGAAAGAGGACCUGCCCUCCAUUCUAUCUACUCCCUCUCUGCAAAGGCCAUUUUGAAGAUCUCAGUUUUACUGAAAGGGGUCUGCCACACAUAACUUCCCUGGUGUACCAGCAACAAGUGUUCAGUGGACCAUGGCAACACAGAGAAUGACGGAGGAGAGAAAAUGCCAUGCAGAAGUGAUAGUCAAGAUGAAGAUGUGGCAGAAGAGCAGCCCCCAGUAUAUAUUCAGUGUGUCCUCUGAAGUAACAACCAUCCCAUCUGGCUGAGAAGUGAUGGACACGGCUCCUUAACCACACUGUACCCUCCGUUCUUGGCACCUCUCUACCAGAAAGAUAUCGACAAAUUGGAUGGAAUUCAGAGAACAGCAAGAAAAAUGAUUAAAGAGAUGGAGGCAGUGACUUACGAGGAAAGAUGAAAAGGACUAAAACUGUAUAGCUUGGCAAAGCAGCAACUGAGUGACUUCCUAUUAUCCUUCUCAAAGUUAUUGCUGCAGAGGAAAGAAGCAUACAUCUUUCACCCACCAGGAAACCCCCAAAGCACCUAUUACUGUAAUAGCCAUGGGAAACAGAAGGCACCUCAAAUAAAGGUAGGGGGAAAAAAUGAAAGAGAUGACUUUGGCCUGUGCCUGUUUGACCUCUGAGAGAUACUUUUUGCAAGAAAUUGUUAAGUUUUGGCCCAAGAAGUGGUCGGUCUUUUAUCCUUCUUUGUGGAGGCCAAAAUGCAAACCAGGAUGAAGAAACCAUAAGUGGCAGUUUGAGGAGGCGGUGGAGGGACUAUCUAGACUCAGUGUAUCACCAACGAAACAUGAGGCCU
RNAcentral lists this non-coding RNA (1054 nucleotides) under Pongo abelii (Sumatran orangutan). Lineage: Eukaryota; Metazoa; Chordata; Mammalia; Primates; Hominidae. The record is from RNAcentral.